UACGUAGGGUGCGAGCGUUGUCCGGAAUUACUGGGCGUAAAGAGCUCGUAGGUGGUUUGUCGCGUUGUCCGUGAAAACUCACAACUCAAUUGUGGGCGUGCGGGCGAUACGGGCAGACUGGAGUACUGCAGGGGAGACUGGAAUUCCUGGUGUAGCGGUGGAAUGCGCAGAUAUCAGGAGGAACACCGGUGGCGAAGGCGGGUCUCUGGGCAGUAACUGACACUGAGGAGCGAAAGCGUGGGGAGCGAACAGG
This 253-nucleotide ribosomal RNA is filed under the name uncultured bacterium. RNAcentral describes it as "partial 16S ribosomal RNA". It matches the Rfam family "Bacterial small subunit ribosomal RNA", at positions 524 to 776 of the family's 1533-position model. The record is from RNAcentral.